UAGGGAAUCUUCGGCAAUGGGUGGAACCCUGACCGAGCAACGCCGCGUGAGUGAAGAAUGUUUUCGGAUCGUAAAGCUCUGUUGUUAAGGAAGAACGAGUUUGAGAAUGGAAAGUUCAUGCUGUGACGGUACUUAACCAGAAAGGGACGGCUAACUACGUGCCAGCAGCCGCGGUAAUACGUAGGUCCCGAGCGUUGUCCGGAUUUAUUGGGCGUAAAGCGAGCGCAGGCGGUUAGAAAAGUCUGAAGUGAAAGGCAGUGGCUCAACCAUUGUAGGCUUUGGAAACUGUUUAACUUGAGUGCAGAAGGGGAGAGUGGAAUUCCAUGUGUAGCGGUGAAAUGCGUAGAUAUAUGGAGGAACACCGGUGGCGAAAGCGGCUCUCUGGUCUGUAACUGACGCUGAGGCUCGAAAGCGUGGGGAGCGAACAGG
Molecule: ribosomal RNA, 429 nt
Filed under: Bacteroidota bacterium
Lineage: Bacteria; Pseudomonadati; Bacteroidota
Description: Bacteroidetes bacterium partial 16S ribosomal RNA
Rfam family: Bacterial small subunit ribosomal RNA
Source: RNAcentral